CCCAGACUCCUACGGGAGGCAGCAGUGGGGAAUAUUGCACAAUGGGGGAAACCCUGAUGCAGCGACGCCGCGUGAAGGAAGAAGUAUCUCGGUAUGUAAACUUCUAUCAGCAGGGAAGAAAACAGACGGUACCUGAAGAAGAAGCCCCGGCUAACUACGUGCCAGCAGCCGCGGUAAUACGUAGGGGGCAAGCGUUAUCCGGAUUUACUGGGUGUAAAGGGGGCGCAGACGGCGAUGCAAGCCAGGAGUGAAAGCCCGGGGCCCAACCCCGGGACUGCUCUUGGAACUGCGUGGCUGGAGUGCAGGAGGGGCAGGCGGAAUUCCUGGUGUAGCGGUGAAAUGCGUAGAUAUCAGGAGGAACACCGGUGGCGAAGGCGGCCUGCUGGACUGCAACUGACGUUGAGGCCCGAAAGCGUGGGGAGCAAACAGGAUUAGAUACCCCAGUA
RNAcentral lists this ribosomal RNA (446 nucleotides) under uncultured bacterium. RNAcentral's name for it is "bacterial SSU rRNA". It matches the Rfam family "Bacterial small subunit ribosomal RNA", at positions 330 to 792 of the family's 1533-position model. The record is from RNAcentral.